Molecule: non-coding RNA, 28 nt
Filed under: Cricetulus griseus (Chinese hamster)
Lineage: Eukaryota; Metazoa; Chordata; Mammalia; Rodentia; Cricetidae
Source: RNAcentral
UGGAACAGAAGAAAAUGUUAAAAAGCGG